This 67-nucleotide transfer RNA is filed under the name Neotoma lepida (desert woodrat). It matches the Rfam family "tRNA". Rfam says of the family: Transfer RNA (tRNA) molecules are approximately 80 nucleotides in length. Their secondary structure includes four short double-helical elements and three loops (D, anti-codon, and T loops). The record is from Rfam by way of RNAcentral. Lineage: Eukaryota; Metazoa; Chordata; Mammalia; Rodentia; Cricetidae.
UGCAGCUCAGUGGUAGGGCGCUUGCUUAGCAUGCAUGAGAGGCUGGGUUCAACCCCCAGUACUGCAA